AUACCAUCCGACUGCAACACUAGUUUGCCAAACCAGUUUCUGUUAAAAUACUCCAAUGACUCCACUCUAGUGAACCUGUCUACCAAAUUUGAUGACCCUACACUGUACCAGGGCAAUGUGGAUUGGUUAACGGAGUGGUGUAAUAAAAACACUCAUUAACACUGAAGACAGAGGAAAUCAUUUUUGGAAAACCCCCCGAAUUGUCAACUGCCCCCAUUGAAUUCACAAUUCAGUAAUCAGUCAAGUCCCAUUCUACAAACAUCUGGGUGUCACAACAGACACAAAUCUCUCAUGGACCUCUCAUAUAGAGUUUACCUG
Long non-coding RNA from Etheostoma spectabile (orangethroat darter), 318 nucleotides. RefSeq lists it as uncharacterized. NCBI's taxonomy places the organism in Eukaryota, Metazoa, Chordata, Actinopteri, Perciformes, Percidae. The transcript has 3 exons. The record is from RefSeq and is a predicted model, not a curated record.